RNAcentral lists this ribosomal RNA (432 nucleotides) under uncultured bacterium. Its description in RNAcentral is "partial 16S ribosomal RNA". It matches the Rfam family "Bacterial small subunit ribosomal RNA", at positions 28 to 507 of the family's 1533-position model. The record is from RNAcentral.
GAUGAACGCUGGCGGUAUGCUUAACACAUGCAAGUCGAACGGUCACUUCGGUGAUAGUGGCGGACGGGUGAGUAACGCGUGAGAAUCUGUCUUCAGGUCGGGGACAACAGUUAGAAAUGACUGCUAAUACCGGAUGUGCCUUUGGGUGAAAGAUUUAUUGCCUGAAAAAGAGCUCGCGUCAGAUUAGCUAGUAGGUGGUGUAAGAGACUACCUAGGCUCCGAUCUGUAGCUGGUCUGAGAGGACGAUCAGCCACACUGGAACUGAGACACGGUCCAGACUCCUACGGGAGGCAGCAGUGGGGAAUUUUCCGCAAUGGGCGAAAGCCUGACGGAGCAAUACCGCGUGAGGGACGAAGGCUUUUGGGUCGUAAACCUCUUUUCUCAAGGAAGAUGAUGACGGUACUUGAGGAAUAAGCAUCGGCUAACUCUGUG